This is a long non-coding RNA of Sander lucioperca (pikeperch), 1260 nucleotides long. RefSeq lists it as uncharacterized. The record is from RefSeq and is a predicted model, not a curated record. The transcript has 2 exons. NCBI's taxonomy places the organism in Eukaryota, Metazoa, Chordata, Actinopteri, Perciformes, Percidae.
UUACAGUAAAGUCAGAUUUCUGACUUUAUUCUCAGAAUUCUGACUUUAAACUCAGAACUUAAAUACAUUUUUUCACAUGUGGCCCUAAUCCUCUUCCAUAAAUAUCACAUUUACUGUUCACACAUUCUUUUGGCAAUGGUUUCUAUGGAAGUUUGAUUGAUGUGUUUGUUUCUCCUAUUAGCGGCACUCCAGUCCAAGUGAAAAAUUUGUUUCAUGCAUUGAUAAUUUUAGUGAUUUUUAUUUUCAACUAAUGGACUAUCAACUGAAACCUCCAACAAAGCAUCACGUUUUAUUGGAAUAUGGAGGAUGGUUUGUGGAUUUUGAUUCUUUUUUUAAAAAUUUUGUGAAUGAGGAUCCUAAAGAAAACUGAUCCCAGAAUUUAGGUGAAAAUUGGGAAGCAUGACUUUGCUAAAUUUGUUUUAAAGUAUUUGUACUGCCGUCAUUGGAUGCUACAUGAAGAUGCUCAGUAGAGAAACUGGACAAUGAUGUGCUGCAUGUAAACCUGAAUUUUCUGACAAUACAGACCAGAGUUUCUGUGUGCUCUUUUGUUACACGUUUCCCCAAAUACUAUUUAUACUGCGGUACAAACAUUUUGUUACCACUGAUGGGUUUCUUUGCAGAAAACCUUUUUUUUUAUUUUUUAUUUCAAUUAAAUUUUUUAUUUCAUUAAAGCUUUUUUCCCAAGGUUUCCUUUUUAAUAGGAUGCCACUGGGAUCAGUAUGUUUCCACAUGAAUAUACUCUUUAUCACAAUAAUACAGCCUGAACAUCAUUCAUGUAAUGGGAUGAUGACAUUGGUGAUUCAGUUCCACCUUUAACAAUCACAUUAGCCUCAUUGUACACUGUAGUGGUCUCUCUUGUUUCUGAAUAUGGAACACACUUUGACAGUAACAGCUAGAACAAAUAUUUCAAAUAUUUAUUCAUAACGUGGAACAAUAUUGUCCUUCAGUGCAAACAUAGACACGGUUCAGAUUGCAACAUGUGAAAGAAAGAAGGUUUGGCACCUUUCCAAGAGUCCUUUUUCACAAGGCUUUUUUCUUAUACUGUAGACACACACACACACACACACACACACACACACACACACACACACACACACACACACACACACAGUGUAUGCAGAAAAAUAUAAUCUCUAUGACCCUGGCUUUGAAUACCAAUCAUUUACAUAUAUUUCACAGAACACUUUGAAUGCCAAUAUGUCGUGACAGAGCGAGCUGUAAACAUUGUAAAAUAAACAGCCUUGUCUUUUGUACUUUCUA